UGUCCAAGGAUGGGAAACGAACCCACAAUAUUCCGCUUACCGGGCAGAUACCAUGCCCACUAGACCACUAAACUACCUGGAC
Molecule: transfer RNA, 82 nt
Filed under: Cordylochernes scorpioides
Lineage: Eukaryota; Metazoa; Arthropoda; Arachnida; Pseudoscorpiones; Chernetidae
Description: tRNA-Thr
Source: RNAcentral